CUUCUGGCUAAAAAGCACGAGAUCUAAAGUGCAACUCACGCGGGCCUCGUGGACAGUAAGGAGGACAGAAAAGACUGCUGGCCUCUGUCCGGCUCUCCUUCUUUCUUUCUCUUUCUUCCUUUCUUCCUUCCUUCCUUCCUCGCUCUCUCUCUCGGCCUGCAGCCCUUCUCUUCCCACCCGCGCGCGCAAUCAAGCUAUCUUGAGCCUAUUAGCCCGCUGAAGUGCCCACGGAUCUCUCUCCCUCUCCCCCGCACCAUCUCUUCCCUUCCACCCCCACCCCUUUAAAAGCACGUUGAGUCGCUUUCAUGAGAUGCCGUGUAAUCUCCUAAUUCUGCCCAGAUCUUGGCUUCUGGGAAGCGCUGCUCCGCAAGCGACGGGGUCCUUGGGAAGGGCUCCUCCGGAAGGUACUAGCCCAGCCCUGCAGGGGUUUUUGUUUUUCUGUCUCUCCGAAGGCAUGGUCGGGGAAGAAUGUGCCAGGGCCAAGUCUGUACUGAUUUUCAUGGUGAAUGGAUGACAUGCUCGCGUUCAUGUUCGACUUCCGAAGGCGCUUAAACGCCUUCCUUUCCUACGUACUAACCUCAGAGAGCCUGGGCUGCUUCAUCCUAGCUCUGCUCUAGGCAUUUCACGGUCUUUUAUGCUCCCUUAACAAGGCUUUUCCUCUCCGUUCCCCGCACACACACACCCUCCCCAUCCCCGGCCUCCUCUCGCUUUGAAACCCCAGUUGCUCGAUUAUUUUUAUUUUUGUCCAUUAUUACAUGCAAUGCCAGGACGUCUUUGGAUUGCAACCCAUCAGGUGAAAGAGCAGCAAGCGACCUAGGGGCAGCUGCCUACCUGAGAAACCCACAGCGAGGUUGGAUGAGCCCUAGGCGCGCGCCCCUCCCCAUCCUGAAAGGUGUUCCUCGGAAGUAAGUGCCGUUCAUUGCAAGGGACUCGUGAGGAGCAUUAGAAUUCCAGCGGGUGAGCCGCAGCAAGAAAGAGUCUUGCGACACCUCUACGGCCAACGCGUUUCCAUGAUGGCACAUGGCGUGGACUGGAAUCAUUUGGUCAGAUGCACCAAGCCAGACAUAUAUCUGCGAGCAAGAAGUAUGCAAAAUUAGCAGGGACAGGAGGCAGACGAGCCAGGAUUUCGGCGGGUCUGAAUUUCAGCGUUAACGUUUAACUGCUUAGUGGCUCUAUACUGUAUAGCACUAACCCCAGUCUGCAGAAAGACCUCUUUUUUAAAGCUUUGACUAUAGUCGGAG
Non-coding RNA from Podarcis lilfordi (Lilford's wall lizard), 1241 nucleotides. NCBI's taxonomy places the organism in Eukaryota, Metazoa, Chordata, Lepidosauria, Squamata, Lacertidae. The record is from the annotation of a GenBank genome assembly.